AUGGGCCUUUCUUUGUUUGAGGGAAAUAACUCAAUUUUUGUAUCAGCCAUACUUCUGCUAUAUAUAUGGAAACAAUCAGUGUCUAUUUCUUUUUUAUCUGAACUGAGACAUAAUUCUACUAUAUGUAAACAAUCAUUGGUUCUUUCUUUUUUAUCUAAACUGAGAAAUAACUCUAAUCAAUUGUUUUUUUAUUUAAUGUCUAAGUAUCUUCCUUACCCAAAACUUGUGCCAAAACUGGUAUUUCUUUCAUGUGUGCCUUGUGCCAUAUAUUAUCCAACCCCCUCUACUUCUGUACAGUUUUUUGUGGUGAAAGAUUACUGGCACCAUGUGAAUCUUAAGCUCCACCAUUUCCUAAUUUUUCUCUCCUGGUCGCCUCUAGGUUUCCUGGCAAGGCGAUGGUGUAUGAACCCUAUGCGCCUGCCUAGCUGUAUUGCGGCUCGAGGAUGCGGCGGAGGUGGCACAUGA
This 465-nucleotide ribosomal RNA is filed under the name Triticum aestivum (bread wheat). RNAcentral describes it as "partial small subunit ribosomal RNA". The record is from RNAcentral. Lineage: Eukaryota; Viridiplantae; Streptophyta; Magnoliopsida; Poales; Poaceae.